This is a long non-coding RNA of Numida meleagris (helmeted guineafowl), 2213 nucleotides long. RefSeq lists it as uncharacterized. The record is from RefSeq and is a predicted model, not a curated record. The transcript is spliced from 2 exons. Lineage: Eukaryota; Metazoa; Chordata; Aves; Galliformes; Numididae.
CAUCUCCAGCACCUGGUCUGCCCUGCAGCCCAGCCCCAUUCAGGUGGGGAGCAGUAUCCAGCCCAGCUGUGGUGCCGCAGGGACAGGGACACCUGCCCAGGAGCUCGUUAGUCACAAAGCACUUGCCUGACGGCCAUGAUGUGAUUUAUUUUGUCAUUAGCCUUAUCUCACAUUCUAAAACCGACUUAGUUUCUAAACUGCAUGAGGUUUUGUACUUUCAUUAAUCUCCCGUGUUUGAUAGACUAAAUUAACCUUUUUAAGGACAAAAGAAUUUCCUUUUUCAUUUUUCCAUGGUCAAACAAGCUGAGGGGCUGUUUCUCCAACAUUUCCCUUAACUUAAAGAACACUUGUGUGUGCGAGUGUAAGCGGGUGCGCCUGCAUCCAUCGCUGUAGGCCAGUCAUCAAGAUAUUUUCCUCCCCACUCCCUCUGCUAAUUUUUAUAUGGAAGCCUUUCUGUCACCUCCCAGACGUUAAUAAAAUUGGAAAUGAGCAGCACUGAGGAUGCACACACGAGGCAGAGCAACCCAAUGAGGGACUGUCCCUCAUACCAAUAAAACCCGCCGCAUUUCUCCAGGCAGUGUGUGAAAUAUAGUGGGUACAUAACAUAUCCCGCAAUAAAAGGCUGCCAUGUGACUCCCCGGCACCCAGGGAGCUAUCAUUUUCAAUUAGGAAAAAGGCCUCUGGCACACAACAAAGACAGCAGAAGCACCGCGUGCAGUUAAGGUGAAAUUUAACUUCAUUAAGGCUCAAUGCAGAUUAGCAUUUGCCUUUGUCUGAGCACUGCGUCCCUCUACCACCAUGCAGGAGAGGACUUCACAGUGCUGGCUUUGCUGAUGGCCUGGUGCAGGUGUGACAGAAGAGAGGAAACCCCAAAACAACACUUGCAGGAGGCAUGCAGCACAGAAGACCUUUGUAGAAAGUUGAAAAUUACCAUCCUCACCAAGCAGGGCCUGUAAUUUAAACAUAAAUCUGCUUCUAAGGUGCUGAAUAUCAAGGCCAGUCAUCAUUUUGGGAUGUAAAACCAGCCUGCUUUCUGCUUGAUUUAAGGCACUGCCUCUCCUUGCUCCCAGCUGGGAUAAGAGGAAUAUAUAAACCCUCUGGUGCCUGCCCCUUCCCACUGCUGAGGGCACUGCCUGUGCCUACAGUUCCGCAUGAACCCCCUAACUGGUUUGUACAGUUACAGCAAAUCCAACACAUCAUUCUGGGCACAUCUCUUUAAUGUCUCACUUAAAUCUCCAUUGUAUCCUAAUGAGCUUAACUUGGUUUUUACCUCAGGUUUCCUGAAGUUAAUCUGCUAUGAUGUUGACCUGUGUUUAUUAAAGCAUUUCUUAUGUUUUCAACAGAAAUAUGCUGCCCAGAGAAGCUGUGGUGCCCCAUCCCUGGAGACGCUCAAGGCCAGGUUGGAUGGGGCCCUGGGCAGCCUGAGCUGGUGGGGGCAGCCCUGCCCAUGGCAGGGGGUGGGGCUGGGUGGGCUGUGAGGUCCUUCCAACCCAAACCAUGCUGUGAUUCUAUGAUUCUGGUAUGACAAGCCCACCAUGGCACCGCUCUCUCUUGCAGGACCCCACUUGGGUCGGAGCUGGCUGCUCAUCAGUGUGACUGUGAGACACAACCCCACUGCUUGGCUGUAAGGCGGGACACCCGCUGCUUUGUCCCCACUUGGUUUCUGCAGGAGACUAGCAAGCUGAGUUUGGAGCCAGUAUGGAUCCGGGAGGUGUCAGCAACACAAGUGAGCACGGGGAAAUAUUACUAGAGGACUUGGAAAGUCUUCUGAUGUAUGUGUUGUCUUACUUGGAUCCAUCCACACCUCCAGUCUCUACCUUUCACACCUGGCCUUAAGGUACAGAACACUGCAGGAGGAAGCUGGGAGCGCCUGCCAGAGCACAUCGUCCUACUCCAGUGUCAGCAGCAAAUGCAAGAGGACAGAGACAUCAGCUGUGCACUUUUAACUUUGAGGAAUGUUUUUAUGAUGUAAACCACCGAACAUAUUACCAAAGAGCAUUCCUUUGCACUUAGGUAAAGCACAUUUUCAGCUUUUGAGGCUGAGAAUCGUCACAAGAAAAUUUACUGAGCAAGUAGCUAAGAUGGAAGAGGAAGGACAUGCAGUUAUGUCUAGUAUUAAAAGAAAAUAGAUUGUGCGCUGUAUGAAAACACACUAUAAACCGGUCUAAAAAAAAAAAAAAAAGAAAAACAACUCACAUAUUUGACAGCUAACA